AAAGCGAUUCAGCGGGUUACGAUUGACGGAGCGAAGCGACGUCAAAGCGUAUACAAAGUCGAGUCGGUUUAAGGAUACGUUCGUUGGGUAGGGGAGCGUUCUGUAAGCCUGUGAAGGUGGCCUGUGAGGGUUGCUGGAGGUAUCAGAAGUGCGAAUGCUGACAUAAGUAACGAUAAAGCGGGUGAAAAGCCCGCUCGCCGGAAGACCAAGGGUUCCUGUCCAACGUUAAUCGGGGCAGGGUGAGUCGACCCCUAAGGCGAGGCCGAAAGGCGUAGUCGAUGGGAAACGGGUUAAUAUUCCCGUACUUGGUGUUACUGCGAAGGGGGGACGGAGAAGGCUAUGUUGGCCGGGCGACGGUUGUCCCGGUUUAAGCGUGUAGGUGUGUGUUCCAGGUAAAUCCGGUUCACUUUAACACUGAGGCGUGACGACGAGGCACUACGGUGCUGAAGCAACAAAUGCCCUGCUUCCAGGAAAAGCCUCUAAGCAUCAGGUAACAUCAAAUCGUACCCCAAACCGACACAGGUGGUCAGGUAGAGAAUACCAAGGCGCUUGAGAGAACUCGGGUGAAGGAACUAGGCAAAAUGGUGCCGUAACUUCGGGAGAAGGCACGCUGACACGUAGGUGAAGUGAUUUACUCAUGGAGCUGAAGUCAGUCGAAGAUACCAGCUGGCUGCAACUGUUUAUUAAAAACACAGCACUGUGCAAACACGAAAGUGGACGUAUACGGUGUGACGCCUGCCCGGUGCCGGAAGGUUAAUUGAUGGGGUCAGCGCAAGCGAAGCUCCUGAUCGAAGCCCCGGUAAACGGCGGCCGUAACUAUAACGGUCCUAAGGUAGCGAAAUUCCUUGUCGGGUAAGUUCCGACCUGCACGAAUGGCGUAAUGAUGGCCAGGCUGUCUCCACCCGAGACUCAGUGAAAUUGAACUCGCUGUGAAGAUGCAGUGUACCCGCGGCAAGACGGAAAGACCCCGUGAACCUUUACUAUAGCUUGACACUGAACAUUGAGCCUUGAUGUGUAGGAUAGGUGGGAGGCUUUGAAGCGUGGACGCCAGUCUGCGUGGAGCCAACCUUGAAAUACCACCCUUUAAUGUUUGAUGUUCUAACGUGGACCCGUAAUCCGGGUUGCGGACAGUGUCUGGUGGGUAGUUUGACUGGGGCGGUCUCCUCCUAAAGAGUAACGGAGGAGCACGAAGGUUGGCUAAUCCUGGUCGGACAUCAGGAGGUUAGUGCAAUGGCAUAAGCCAGCUUGACUGCGAGCGUGACGGCGCGAGCAGGUGCGAAAGCAGGUCAUAGUGAUCCGGUGGUUCUGAAUGGAAGGGCCAUCGCUCAACGGAUAAAAGGUACUCCGGGGAUAACAGGCUGAUACCGCCCAAGAGUUCAUAUCGACGGCGGUGUUUGGCACCUCGAUGUCGGCUCAUCACAUCCUGGGGCUGAAGUAGGUCCCAAGGGUAUGGCUGUUCGCCAUUUAAAGUGGUACGCGAGCUGGGUUUAGAACGUCGUGAGACAGUUCGGUCCCUAUCUGCCGUGGGCGCUGGAGAACUGAGGGGGGCUGCUCCUAGUACGAGAGGACCGGAGUGGACGCAUCACUGGUGUUCGGGUUGUCAUGCCAAUGGCACUG
This 1617-nucleotide ribosomal RNA is filed under the name Salmonella enterica subsp. enterica serovar Kintambo. Its description in RNAcentral is "partial 23S ribosomal RNA". It matches the Rfam family "Bacterial large subunit ribosomal RNA", at positions 1164 to 2740 of the family's 2925-position model. Lineage: Bacteria; Pseudomonadati; Pseudomonadota; Gammaproteobacteria; Enterobacterales; Enterobacteriaceae. The record is from RNAcentral.